Molecule: ribosomal RNA, 774 nt
Filed under: uncultured bacterium
Lineage: Bacteria
Description: bacterial SSU rRNA
Rfam family: Bacterial small subunit ribosomal RNA
Source: RNAcentral
AGAGUUUGAUCAUGGCUCAGGACGAACGCUGGCGGCGUGCUUAACACAUGCAAGUCGAACGAGACCCCGCUUUCGGGUGGGUGUUCUAGUGGCGAACGGGUGAGUAACACGUGGGCAACCUGCCCCCGGCUCUGGGAUAACUCCAAGAAAUUGGGGCUAAUACCGGAUAUGACCGCUGACCGCAUGGUCUGGUGGUGGAAAGUUUUUCGGCUGGGGAUGGGCCCGCGGCCUAUCAGCUUGUUGGUGGGGUAGUGGCCUACCAAGGCGACGACGGGUAGCCGGCCUGAGAGGGUGACCGGCCACACUGGGACUGAGACACGGCCCAGACUCCUACGGGAGGCAGCAGUGGGGAAUAUUGCGCAAUGGGCGGAAGCCUGACGCAGCGACGCCGCGUGGGGGAUGACGGCCUUCGGGUUGUAAACCUCUUUCAGCAGGGACGAAGCGGAAGUGACGGUACCUGCAGAAGAAGCACCGGCCAACUACGUGCCAGCAGCCGCGGUAAUACGUAGGGUGCAAGCGUUGUCCGGAAUUAUUGGGCGUAAAGAGCUCGUAGGCGGUUCGUCGCGUCGGCUGUGAAAACCCGGAGCUCAACUCCGGGCCUGCAGUCGAUACGGGCGGACUCGAGUUCGGCAGGGGAGACUGGAAUUCCUGGUGUAGCGGUGAAAUGCGCGAUAUCAGGAGGAACACCGGUGGCGAAGGCGGGUCUCUGGGCCGAUACUGACGCUGAGGAGCGAAAGCGUGGGGAGCGAACAGGAUUAGAUACCCUGGUAGUCC